AAGACCUUGCACUUUUGGAGCGGCCGAUGUCUGAUUAGCUAGUUGGUGGGGUAAUGGCCUACCAAAGCUUCGAUCAGUAGCUGGUCUGAGAGGACGGCCAGCCACACUGGGACUGAGACACGGCCCAGACUCCUACGGGAGGCAGCAGUGGGGAAUUUUGGACAAUGGGCGCAAGCCUGAUCCAGCCAUGCCGCGUGAGUGAAGAAGGCCUUCGGGUUGUAAAGCUCUUUCAGCCGGGAAGAAAAGGUUGCGACUAAUAAUCGCAAUCCAUGACGGUACCGAAAGAAGAAGCACCGGCUAACUACGUGCCAGCAGCCGCGGUAAUACGUAGGGUGCGAGCGUUAAUCGGAAUUACUGGGCGUAAAGGGUGCGCAGGCGGUUCUGUAAGUCAGAUGUGAAAUCCCCGGGCUUAACCUGGGAACU
RNAcentral lists this ribosomal RNA (423 nucleotides) under uncultured bacterium. Its description in RNAcentral is "bacterial SSU rRNA". It matches the Rfam family "Bacterial small subunit ribosomal RNA", at positions 207 to 622 of the family's 1533-position model. The record is from RNAcentral.